Molecule: transfer RNA, 71 nt
Filed under: Loxodonta africana (African savanna elephant)
Lineage: Eukaryota; Metazoa; Chordata; Mammalia; Proboscidea; Elephantidae
Rfam family: tRNA
About the family: Transfer RNA (tRNA) molecules are approximately 80 nucleotides in length. Their secondary structure includes four short double-helical elements and three loops (D, anti-codon, and T loops).
Source: Rfam by way of RNAcentral
GCAGUGGUGGUUCAGUGGUAGAAUUCUCGCCUUCCAUGUCAGAAGCUUGGGUUCGAUUUCUAGCCAAUACA